CGGCCUCAGCCCCCAGGUCCUCUAGAACACCCUGGUCAGCACACUGCAGCCUCAGCCCCCAGGUCCUCUAGAACACCCUGGUCAGCACACUGCAGCCUCAGCCCCCAGGUCCUCUAGAACACCCUGGUCAGCACCACAGCCUCAGCCCCCAGGUCCUCUAGAGCACCCUGGUCAGCACACCGCAGCCUCAGCCCCCAGGUCCUCUAGAGCACCCUGGUCAGCACACCGCAGCCUCAGCCCCCAGGUCCUCUAGAACACCCCGGUCAGCACCACGGCCUCAGCCCCCAAGUCCUCUAGAACACCCCGGUCAGCACC
This is a long non-coding RNA of Apodemus sylvaticus (European woodmouse), 315 nucleotides long. RefSeq lists it as uncharacterized. The transcript has 5 exons. The record is from RefSeq and is a predicted model, not a curated record. Lineage: Eukaryota; Metazoa; Chordata; Mammalia; Rodentia; Muridae.